AUUGAACGCUAGCGGGAUGCUUUACACAUGCAAGUCGAACGGCAGCGCGGACUUCGGUCUGGCGGCGAGUGGCGAACGGGUGAGUAAUGUAUCGGAACGUGCCCAGUAGCGGGGGAUAACUGCGCGAAAGCGUAGCUAAUACCGCAUACGCCCUACGGGGGAAAGCAGGGGAUCGUAAGACCUUGCACUAUUGGAGCGGCCGAUAUCGGAUUAGCUAGUUGGUGAGGUAACGGCUCACCAAGGCGACGAUCCGUAGCUGGUUUGAGAGGACGACCAGCCACACUGGGACUGAGACACGGCCCAGACUCCUACGGGAGGCAGCAGUGGGGAAUUUUGGACAAUGGGGGCAACCCUGAUCCAGCCAUCCCGCGUGUGCGAUGAAGGCCUUCGGGUUGUAAAGCACUUUUGGCAGGAAAGAAACGUCGCGGGCUAAUACCCCGUGGAACUGACGGUACCUGCAGAAUAAGCACCGGCUAACUACGUG
This 484-nucleotide ribosomal RNA is filed under the name uncultured bacterium. RNAcentral describes it as "partial 16S ribosomal RNA". It matches the Rfam family "Bacterial small subunit ribosomal RNA", at positions 30 to 507 of the family's 1533-position model. The record is from RNAcentral.